GGAUCUGUGGCACAAUGGUAGUGUGUCUGAAUCCAGAUCAGAAGGUUAUGUGUUCGAUUCAUGUCGGGUUCA
Molecule: non-coding RNA, 72 nt
Organism: Picea glauca (white spruce)
Lineage: Eukaryota; Viridiplantae; Streptophyta; Pinopsida; Pinales; Pinaceae
Source: Rfam